GAUGAACGCUGGCGGCGUGCCUAAUACAUGCAAGUCGAGCGAACAGACGAGGAGCUUGCUCCUCUGACGUUAGCGGCGGACGGGUGAGUAACACGUGGACAACCUACCUAUAAGACUGGGAUAACUUCGGGAAACCGGAGCUAAUACCGGAUAAUAUAUUGAACCGCAUGGUUCAAUAGUGAAAGACGGUUUUGCUGUCACUUAUAGAUGGAUCCGCGCCGCAUUAGCUAGUUGGUAAGGUAACGGCUUACCAAGGCAACGAUGCGUAGCCGACCUGAGAGGGUGAUCGGCCACACUGGAACUGGGACACGGUCCAGACUCCUACGGGAGGCAGCAGUAGGGAAUCUUCCGCAAUGGGCGAAAGCCUGACGGAGCAACGCCGCGUGAGUGAUGAAGGUCUUCGGAUCGUAAAACUCUGUUAUUAGGGAAGAACAAAUGUGUAAGUAACUAUGCACGUCUUGACGGUACCUAAUCAGAAAGCCACGGCUAACUACGUG
RNAcentral lists this ribosomal RNA (497 nucleotides) under uncultured bacterium. RNAcentral's name for it is "partial 16S ribosomal RNA". It matches the Rfam family "Bacterial small subunit ribosomal RNA", at positions 28 to 507 of the family's 1533-position model. The record is from RNAcentral.